ACAAGUUCAAUUGGAAGCAGCAACGUGACAAGAUAAGCAGCUGAUGUCACUUGUCAACAUUUAGUCCUCCAUCGUUUGAAGGUCACGUCCCUUGCUGUUUGCUUUACAUAGUGUAGUGUUUAGCAAGCGGCUGGUGUCGGCUGGAAGGAGGUUUCAGUCAAUGGGGCAGUACGACUAGGGAGAACUCAAGAAGGUUAGCUACUUUCUCACACUCUUACCAUCCGGCUAUUAGUUGCUUUCGACCUUAUUCCUGGUUAACUACUUGAUGAUCUGACCAAAUCUGAUACCUUAUUGACGCUAUUUGCUAUGAGUGGGAUCAGAGAUCAAAAUGGUUCCACAUACCUUCACAAAAUCAUGUAUGCUCUGACAUUGGCGCAUGAUUUAUAUAUAAAUUUCAGACCGCAGAUAUGUCUAUUGUAAAUGCAUAACCAUGAGCUUAUAUGUGUUUCGUUGGCUCCAGAGGUGCUAAAGAGAAACUAUGGCCCAGAGGUUGAUGUUUGGAGUGCAAGAGUGAUUAUGUACAUAUUUUCCCUGGUAAUGAACUUUUUACUACUUCAUUCCUAGAAACAUUGUCUUUACAUAGUGUAGUGUUUGGAUGCAAUUGUCUGUGCCACUAUCACAUUGUUGGCAUGUAGAAACUCUUGUGUUGAUUUAAUCCUAUCUCCAUCACUUGCCUAUAUGUUAACCUGGUCUUUGUACAGUUUGGUUACCAAGCAAAAUUAUUUCUAAAUUUGUUUGUGUUGCAAUCACAGUCUCAUAUUUACCUCCACUCAACAAAAUACUGUUGUUUUGGUCUAUAGAAGUUUUUUGUCACUUGGUAAUGCUGUUUUGGUCUAUAGAAGUUUUUUGAUAUGCCAUUAUAUCCACUUUGCUACUAUCUGCUGUGCUUGUGAUUUGCCUGUUUGGAGAUCAUGUUUUACAAAUCAAGUAAUUCAGACUAUUCUUGGUAUGCCAUUAUUUCCACUUUUCAUUCAGUGACUGAACCUACCGAGACUGAAGCAAGUAGGGACAGAGCAAAAAACUCUCUUGAGAACUGGGCAUCCAAUCAGAAAGUAAGUUAUAGAUAGAUACCUUAGUUUGAUGUACAUAGGUUUUUGUUAAA
Molecule: long non-coding RNA, 1102 nt
Filed under: Zea mays
Lineage: Eukaryota; Viridiplantae; Streptophyta; Magnoliopsida; Poales; Poaceae
Description: long non-coding RNA (ZMAY_LNC004882)
Source: RNAcentral